This 2024-nucleotide long non-coding RNA is filed under the name Equus asinus (donkey). RNAcentral describes it as "lncRNA (ENSEASG00005026965.1)". The record is from RNAcentral. Lineage: Eukaryota; Metazoa; Chordata; Mammalia; Perissodactyla; Equidae.
GUUUGACCCCAGAAGUGUCAUCACUGUGCCAUCUUGCUACGUCAGAGCUGUCCCUCACGGAGCUGACCUCCCCCCGGCCUCCAGAGCACCUCCAUCUCUUCCAGGACUAGAACUCCUCCUAAUUUUCUGAUCAAAGCAAAAGAAUGCUGUUUGCUUUUCUUGUUUCUUUUUUUAAAAAUCAUGUUUAACAAAUUCUUAAGCUGGGGAAAGAAUACGAGGGAAUGCAUUGUUCAGAAAUAAACCUGGGCUUCUCAAGGCCUUCCAAGGACAAAGAUCUGAGGCCCAAACACAGAUUCCACACAAAAACUUCAACCAGAACCUUCAGCUGUGGCCACUGCUCCUUUGACCACACAGUGGCAAGAAUCUUUUGGAUUCUCAAUUCUGCCACCUGACAGCUCGUGUUCCCCCCUCAACCAUCCCCCCGGCCGACCAUCUCACGGGGUCGGAACCUGGGUGUGGAGCGGGGAGGUCCCCGGAGACUUAGGUGCUCUGCUCUGGAGUUUGGACCUUACACUGUAGCCAAUGGGAAUGGGCAACGGGCACUAGGCGGAGGGUCGGUGUGCAUUCUGGAGAUCUCUCUACUGUCGGAGGUGGGAAAAGCUGUGGGAGGCUCCUGCCAUGGUUCAGGUGAGAGAUGAUCCAUCGGCAAGACAAUGGAGGGAAGAGAAUCCAUCACAGAGACACGUCGGCUGCAGAACUGAUAGAGGCUGGAAGAAGGGAAGGUUAUCCCUGAGCUAACAUCUACCACAAAUCCUCCUCUUUUUGCUGAGGAAGACUGGCCCUGAGCUAACAUCUGUGCCCAUCUGCCUCUACUUUAUAUGUGGGAUGCUUGCCACAGCAUGGCUUGACAAGUGGUGCCAUGUCCGCACCCGGGAUCCGAACCAGCAAACCCAGGGGGCCACCGAAGCAGAACGUGUGAACUUAACCAUUACGCCACGGGGCUGGCCCCAACAAUUCUUUAAAAUAAUAAUAGCUAGGCAUUUACGGAGUCCUUUUCAUGUGGUAGGUGCUUCACAGGAGACUCCCAACAACGGGUGAAGGAGGAGCUACACCAGCCCACUUUACGGCUGAGGGGACCCAGGUGCCGGCGUGUUGAGGACUAUGCCCAGGUCCCCAGGGGAUUAAGCACAGAGCUGGCAUUGGAGUCCAAGCAGUCUCCAGAGUGGACAUCUUGGACCCCAAAUCUGCUGCCUCGGUUUCAAAAGUCUCCACACGUGGGGAGGACCCUUGUGUCUCCAAGAGGCGCUGGACCUACAGAAGAGGACAGAGAGGUGGGGGGACAGGCCUGGAAACAGUGCUGGCCAGGGUGGGCCGGAGUGACCUGCGUGCUUGCCGAAACCAAACACAGCCUCUGUGGGAGCGCAGGUGGAGGCAGCUGUCUCUGGAAUCUCCCAGGCGCAGGCCGGUCUUGUCAGCAGCUGCCCCCGUUUCACUCCGCCCCUGCGCCCUCCACUUGCUCCUUCUGUUCCAGCUUUGUCUCCAUCUCUUUACCCCAAGAUACCUGCAGGUGGGGCUCCUGAAUCCUUUCUCACAGUGUUCUCUCUCUGCCUGGCCUGCACCCCACCCUCAGCUCCAGUCCCCGGCCUCAGACUGCGGAGCGCAGGCCAUGCCAUGGCCCCUGGUCAGCCAGGGAAAACACAGGGCCCAGGAUUUCUGCACCUUUAGCUCUGGGUUGACCCUUCCCAAGCUCCAGGGCAUGGAGGAGAGUGGGAGGGGAGAGGAUCCUGCAAGUGAGAAGAAGGCAGGCCCUGCAGGAAGCCCUGUCUGCGCUGCCAGGGCUGGGAACAAGGGGAGCAUGGGGAUGUGUACUGACAUCGUGGGCAGUGUCGUGGGAACCUGCUGACGCUGCAGUUCAUGCCUCUGUGUGCAUGAGCAGUGACACGGAGAUGAUGCCAUUCUCCAGAUCGCCAGCAAGCCUGCACCACGCAGACAGGCUGGUCACGGCUGUUUGAAUUGCCAAGUUCCACAGGCAGGGGGUACAAGCUUUGCAGCGACCUACAAAAUGUUUGAGGCCUGAAAAAGAA